UACGAAGGGGGCUAGCGUUGUUCGGAUUUACUGGGCGUAAAGCGCACGUAGGCGGAUCGAUCAGUCAGGGGUGAAAUCCCAGAGCUCAACUCUGGAACUGCCUUUGAUACUGUCGAUCUGGAGUAUGGAAGAGGUGAGUGGAAUUCCGAGUGUAGAGGUGGAAUUCGUAGAUAUUAGGAAGAACACCAGUGGCGAAGGCGGCUCACUGGUCCGGUACUGACGCUGAGGUGCGAAAGCGUGGGGAGCAAACAGG
This 253-nucleotide ribosomal RNA is filed under the name uncultured bacterium. Its description in RNAcentral is "partial 16S ribosomal RNA". It matches the Rfam family "Bacterial small subunit ribosomal RNA", at positions 524 to 776 of the family's 1533-position model. The record is from RNAcentral.